AGCAGUUUAAAGCAAUGAAUGUUUAUCUCACAGGUUUUGUGGGUUAGGAAUUCAGGAGCAAUUUAGCUGGGUGCUUCUGGCUUGGUGUCUUUCGAAUCAUGCUGUGGGCCAGGGCAGAAGUCAGUGAAACGUGACUGGGGCUGGAGGUUCCUCUUCCAGGCUCAUUCAUGCAGCUGUCGUCCAGAAACUGCCGUGGCACCAUCUCCUUCAGGCUUCGCACAGCAUGGCUUCCCUCACUGUUCUAAUCUCCGAAAUGGCACGCUUUCACUUCGUCUCUCUUCUCUUUGUAAGGAGCCAGUCACUUAAGUCCAGCCCAUGCUCAGGAGGAAGGAAGGCAGCCACCAUGUAAGUGGAAGUCCCCCGGAGAGUCAGUAGAAGGGAAGAAUGGCUUGAUUCCUGCCCCCAUCUCUCGGCCAAAGGAUCCUGAGGAAAGCAAUGCUAACUCUUGGCAGAAGGGACAUCCAGCAAUCAGCCAUCUCUCUUGCAAGUGUUCUGGACUUCUCUAUUAAAAAACAGCCUGUUCAGCCAGCAUGUGUCACUGUGUCAUAUUCUGAGGUAGAAAUGGGCUUCCCUGGUGGCUCAGAUGGUAAAGAAUUUGCCUGCAAUGCAGGAAAUGCAGCCUUGAUCCCUGGGUUGGGAAGAUAUAUAAAUGGUCACAACAGCAAGUGGGGGAUCAUUGAGCUUGACACAUUUCAGAUGACUACACGGGGCCAACGCAGCAGCCCCACCCUCCAUGCUGGUGUGUUGUAUAUGAGAUGUGUCCAUGGAGCAUGGGAGCUUAAUGUCCCCUGACUGUCAGUCUCAUAUCAAUGUGGCUGCUAGAUUGCUGCAUUUCCAGCAACCCAUUUGGAUUAAAGAACCUCGAAACGCCCAUGUUGGGAUCUCUAUGUGACAGCAUUGAGAGUGUCAUCUGAAGGCAGCAGGAAGUCUGACAGUCACUAAACUUGUUUUAGAAGCUAGAAAUUCUACCAUUUGUGAAGAUGAAGGCAGUUUGAACCUUUCUGGAUGAAUGCUGCAGUUUGUUUUUGGAACUGAACCUCUGACCUUCCUGAAGGACUGUCUCUUUGACUUUACAGAUUUGCUUUAGCAGAGCCAGAUCGUCAUCAGUCUACUCAGUUUGGAUUUCCAGACAUGUCUCCUGGUGAUAAGAAUAAUUGCAAGAUCCUUUCAGCUUCGAUCCUGUGCUGUCUGCCCACUUCUGCAUUAUUCCAGUUGAUGAUUCAGUGUUUAUUAUUCCACAAAUAGAAGCCAGCUUAGACGUGUUCGUGCUAUAUGUGUGUAUAUUCUCACCUUUAUUAGAACUUUCUUGCUGCCCUUUGAAAAUGCUCUUCUCCUGCCUCAGGGCUCUUGCACCUGCUGUUAUGUUUCCCUGGACUGUUCUUGGCUAAGAUACUUGCAUCAUUCUCUUCCUCAUCAACUUCAGGCAUGCUGUUUAAAUUGCACUCCCUAGCAAUCCUUAUUUCUCCUCUCCUCUCUUUCUUUACUCCGUAGUACUUACAUACCUCUGACAUAUUUUCAUUAUCAAUUUCCUCUUACUAAAUGCAGGCUCCAAGAAUGUAGAGAUUUUUGUUGGUUUUAUUCACUGCUCUAUCUCCAGCAUUUCAAACUAGUAAGCCUGUCCCAUAAUAAGUGUUCAGUAAAGGUUUGUUUAAUAUAUUAUAAAUAAAUGUGUAUUAUGGGUAGAAAAACCAAGAUGAAAGGUGAUGUGUGUACUCAUUAGAAUGCAAUUUCCAUGAGGGUAGGAGCUGAGUUUUGUCACAUGCUUCCUGGUGUCCUGAAGUGGGCUUGAUACCUAAUAGACAUUCAGUAUACCUUUAUGGAUUGGAUGGAUCAGAGCUCAUUAAUAAAAUAAUUGGAAAUAUUAUUAAGUUUUUAAAGGAGAGAUGAAAAGAAGAAAAAAGAAGACACAAUGAAUAUGUAUUUGUAUUUCAGAGCUCACUUUCAUUUUACAGUGGCUUUUACGAAGAUUAUAUGUAUUUUAUUAGGUUAGAGCCACAAUUUCAAAUAAAAUUUACAAUUCCCCCAUGACAGAAAAUCACAUUGUGAAUAAAUAUAGCUUAUCAUGAAAACUCUUACAC
Long non-coding RNA from Bos taurus (domestic cattle), 2078 nucleotides. The record is from Ensembl. Lineage: Eukaryota; Metazoa; Chordata; Mammalia; Artiodactyla; Bovidae.